UCUCCUGGAAAACGGGUGGUAAUGCCGGAUGUUCCACAUGAUCGCAUGUGAUUGUGGGAAAGAUUCUAUCGGCGUGGGAUGGGGUCGCGUCCUAUCAGCUUGUUGGUGAGGUAACGGCUCACCAAGGCUUCGACGGGUAGCCGGCCUGAGAGGGCGACCGGCCACAUUGGGACUGAGAUACGGCCCAGACUCCUACGGGAGGCAGCAGUGGGGAAUAUUGCACAAUGGGCGCAAGCCUGAUGCAGCGACGCCGCGUGAGGGAUGGAGGCCUUCGGGUUGUAAACCUCUUUUGUUUGGGAGCAAGCCUUCGGGUGAGUGUACCUUUCGAAUAAGCGCCGGCUAACUACGUGCCAGCAGCCGCGGUAAUACGUAGGGCGCAAGCGUUAUCCGGAUUUAUUGGGCGUAAAGGGCUCGUAGGCGGCUCGUCGCGUCCGGUGUGAAAGUCCAUCGCUUAACGGUGGAUCUGCGCCGGGUACGGGCGGGCUGGAGUGCGGUAGGGGAGACUGGAAUUCCCGGUGUAACGGUGGAAUGUGUAGAUAUCGGAAAAGAACA
This 552-nucleotide ribosomal RNA is filed under the name Bifidobacterium bifidum. RNAcentral describes it as "bacterial SSU rRNA". It matches the Rfam family "Bacterial small subunit ribosomal RNA", at positions 146 to 708 of the family's 1533-position model. Lineage: Bacteria; Bacillati; Actinomycetota; Actinomycetes; Bifidobacteriales; Bifidobacteriaceae. The record is from RNAcentral.